This is an RNA transcript of Peromyscus eremicus (cactus mouse), 4142 nucleotides long. It is a transcript of the gene named transcription factor 25, with no coding region annotated. The transcript is spliced from 20 exons. The record is from RefSeq and is a predicted model, not a curated record. NCBI's taxonomy places the organism in Eukaryota, Metazoa, Chordata, Mammalia, Rodentia, Cricetidae.
GACUCCAGGGGUAAUUGGGAGGAAGUUCCGGAGAGCCGCUGCGCGCAAACGCGACACGCCAACCUUGCGCCAGCGCGCCGCAAGUGCGCAGGCGCCGCCGCUCUGCUGCUCUUCCUCGUCCCUCUGCCUACAGCAGGCUGUCGGGUCCUAUGUCGCGCCGGGCCCUCCGGAGGCUGAGGGGGGAACAGCGCGGCCAGGAACCCCUAGGGCCCGACGCCUUGCAGUUUGUCCUCCUUGAUGACGAUGACGCGGAGGAAGAGGGACCAAAACAAGGGUUGGGUGGCCGGCGCCCCGGGGGCGCAGGGAAGGAAGGCGUCCGUGUCAACAACCGGUUCGAGCUGAUAAACAUCGAGGAUCUUGAGGAUGACCUUGUGGUAAAUGGGGAGAAGUCUGACUGUACCCUGCUGGACUCUGUGUCAUCAGGGAACAAAGGAAGGGCUCAGCGUGGAAACCCAGAGACAAAGCAAGAUGGGGAUGUGGCCAAGGCAGGGUUCCCAGAACAGUCUAAUGCAAGUGGCAAACUCCGAAAGAAGAAAAAGAAGCAGAAAAAUAAGAAAAGCUGCACAGGAGAAUCCUCGGAAAAUGGGCUAGAAGAUAUUGAUCGCAUCUUAGAGAGGAUUGAAGACAGCAGUGGGGUCAGCCACCCAGGCCCCCCUCCACUGAAUUCCAGGAAGCACGUCCUCUAUGUGGAGCACAGACACUUGAAUCCAGAUACAGAACUGAAAAGGUAUUUUGGUGCUCGAGCGGUCCUGGGAGAACAAAGGCCUCGACAAAGACAGCGUGUAUAUCCCAAGUGUACAUGGCUGACAACCCCUAAAAGCACUUGGCCCCGAUACAGCAAACCAGGUCUGUCAAUGCGGCUGCUGGAAUCCAAGAAAGGCCUUUCUUUCUUUGCAUUUGAGCACAAUGAGGAGUAUCAGCAAGCACAGCACAAGUUCCUGGUGGCUGUGGAGUCCAUGGAGCCAAACAACAUUGUGGUUCUGCUCCAGACAAGUCCCUAUCAUGUUGACUCACUUCUGCAGCUCAGUGACGCCUGCCGCUUUCAGGAGGAUCAAGAGAUGGCUCGAGACCUUAUAGAGAGAGCACUGUACAGCAUGGAGUGUGCUUUCCAUCCCUUGUUCAGUCUCACCAGUGGGACUUGCAGGCUGGAUUACCGCAGACCUGAGAACAGGAGCUUCUACCUGGCCCUCUACAAGCAGAUGAGUUUCUUGGAGAAGCGAGGAUGCCCACGUACUGCACUUGAGUACUGCAAGCUCAUCCUGAGCCUUGAGCCAGAUGAGGACCCCCUGUGCAUGCUGCUGCUUAUUGACCACCUGGCCUUACGGGCCCGGAACUAUGAGUACCUGAUCCGCCUCUUCCAGGAGUGGGAGGCUCAUCGGAACCUAUCCCAGCUCCCAAAUUUUGCCUUCUCAGUUCCAUUGGCAUAUUUCCUUCUGAGUCAGCAAACAGACUUACCUGAGCAUGAGCUCGCCUCUGCCAGGCAACAGGCUUCCCUCCUGAUACAGCAGGCGCUCACUAUGUUCCCUGGAGCUCUUAUGCCAUUGCUGGAGUAUUGCAGUGUGCGGCCUGAUGCAACAGUCUCAGAUCACCGCUUCUUUGGGCCAGAUGCUGAGAUAAGCCAGCCCCCUGCCCUGAGCCAGCUGGUGAGUCUGUACCUUGGGAGGUCACACUUUCUUUGGAAAGAACCCGCCAUUAUGAGCUGGCUGGAGGAAAACGUCCGUGAGGUUCUGCAAGCAGUGGAUGCUGGGGACCCUGCUGUGGAGGCCUGUGAGAAUAGGCGGAAGGUGCUGUACCAGCGUGCACCCAGAAACAUCCACCGCCAUGUGAUACUCUCUGAGAUCAAGGAGGCUGUUGCUGCCCUACCCUCGGAUGUGACCACACAGUCUGUGAUGGGGUUUGAUCCUCUGCCUCCCCUGGACACCAUCUACUCUUACGUCCGACCAGAAAGGCUGAGUCCAGUCAGUCAUGGAAACACAAUCGCCCUCUUCUUCCGAUCAUUAUUGCCAAAUUACACCACAGAGGGGGAGAGGCUGGAGGAAGGAGUGGCCGGGGGUCCGAACCGCAAUCAAGGCUUGAACAGGCUGAUGUUGGCCGUACGUGACAUGAUGGCCAACUUCCACUUCAACGACCUGGAGGUGCCUCGGGAGGACAAUCCUGAGGGCGAGGGGGACUGGGACUGACUGUCCAGAUGCUGUGCCCAGAGCUGUGCAAUUAUGUUCCUGAUUCUUUCCUGGUUGGAAUUAACCAGUUCCCUGAAGUAGAAAUGCUGACCAUGUCAUCCACCCGUGUCUUUUGUUUUCCCUAUAAAUGUGAGUGGGGUAUGCUCUGCUGUGAGUGAGCUUUUCCUCCAGUGCCCUCAAAAAUAGUCCAGGAGCAGUGAGCCCCACACCAUAUACACCCUGCCAUGUGCCUUACACUUUCAGAAUUUCUAACAUAAUGCAGAGAAAGGGGUUUUCCUGGAGUCUUCAGUGCGAGGACCCCACAUGCUCCUUGCUAGGGGGCACUGAACCUUCCACAAUGCUGCACCCAGCGUCUUUGCAGUGGUGAGGAUCAAACCCAGGGCCUGGCAUGUGACCUACCAUUGCGUGAUAGUCCCAGCCUAGGAAUUUCAUUAGUAAACUUGGAGGGCUGGAGGUGUGUCUCAGAUGGUAGACUGCUUGUUAGCAUGCACAAAGCCCAGGAUUUGAUCCCCAGCACAACACAAACCAGGUGUGGUAGUGUUCAUCUGUAAUCUCAGUACUCAAGAGGUAGAGAGAGGGACAAGGGGAUUAGAAGUUAAAGAUCACCCUCUGCUAUAUAGUGAGCUCAAAGCCAGCCUUAGUUACGUGAGACCCCAGCUCAAAAGAGGGGGUUGGGGCAUGCGGUGCCCAGAACUGAAAGAAAAGCCAAGAAGCAACUUUAAGGCAGAAAAUUCAAGGAUUCUUUGCAGAGGUUAAAGGGUGUUUGAUCUAGGGAUGAGUGGGGAGCCCUGACCAAGAACCCCAGUCCAGUGGCGGGAACAGAGGCACAGCCAGGCAAGGCCGGUCUGUGUCUCAUAAGCUGUCUGAUUGUGGAAAGGUCCAGGCUACUGAGAUGUUAUAAGCUGUGUCAGGUAUCUCUCGGGCAGCCCUGCCCAUCUGUGUCUGUACAGAGACUGGGGGAGGUACUGCCAUGGGCUCUAGUCUGAGAGAUGGCUGGUGAAGCCCCCCUAAGUCUUGGUCCAUUGAUUGCUUCCUGGGAGUUCAGACGGCAUUGGAUCCAUGGUAUGGACGAGGUACAAGUAAAGCAUGCUUCAGGAAUGUCCUGAGGGCCAUAAAUGGCUCAGUGAGUAAAGGUACUCGCUUCCAAGCCUGAUAACCCGAGUUCAAUCCCCAGGACCCAUAUGGUGGAUGGAGAGAGCUAACUCCUGCAGGUUGUCCUCUUACCUCCACACAUACAUUGUAGCAUGUGCACACCUAUACAAACACCAAAAAAAUGGAAAAGGGGCAGCUUGGUGGUUAAAAGUACUUACUGUGCUUGGUGCUUUUGCAGAGGACCAGGGUUUGAUUUUAAGCACCCAUGGCGGGUAGCUCACAAUCACCUUAAUUCCGGCCCCAGCAUACAAACAUAUACAUGAUGUGGCUGAGCAGUGGCCCAGGUCACUGUCCCCUCAACAGGACAUUAAGGGCUGAUUUGUACCCAUCUAUAGUCAGCCUAAAUGUCACAGCCCAUUUCUAAGUUAGCCAUCUGUAGGGGGGCUCUGUGUUCAAUAUAUGUGCCUGGUGAAAGAUCACGUGUCACAUGAAUUGGUGCUGAGUGUCUUUUUUUUCUCCAGCAUGAAUUGGCAAGGCCAUGAAGUCUGGAUACAGGUUCUACUACUUGUGCUCAUGGGUUCCAGGUUGGAGUGGCCUGUGCAGCUGUAAGUCCAUCCAGAUGAGGAUGUGAUAUCUGGAGCUGCAGCAGCUAUUCUACAACCACGAGGCAAUGAACUCCAAAAUGAAGAGCCAGUGUACUAGGAACAGUGAAGCAGAGGAUGCCCUAGGCCUUCGGGGAACUUCCCACCUCCAGGCCUGUAUCCUGAGAGGCCAUUAAAUGAUUGGCUUCAGAAGUGUUGCUCAGACUUAAGUAAUUUUCAACUGAAUACAUUUCUAAUGGUGAUAAAUAAAAACCAGUCACUCACGUCA